GUGUCAGCCGCCGCGGUAAAACGUAGGAGACAAACGUUAUCCGGAGUUACUGGGCGUAAAGGGCGUGUAGGCGGUCUGUUAAGUCUGGCGUGAAAGCUCUCGGCUAAACCGGGAGAGGUCGUUGGAUACUGGCACGACUGGAGGAUGGUAGAGGCGUGUGGAAUUCCGGGUGUAGUGGUGAAAUGCGUAGAGAUCCGGAGGAACACCAGUGGCGAAGGCGACACGCUGGGCCAUACCUGACGCUAAAGCGCGACAGCAUGGGGAGCAAACGGGAUUAGAAACCCGUGUAGUCC
RNAcentral lists this ribosomal RNA (293 nucleotides) under uncultured bacterium. Its description in RNAcentral is "partial 16S ribosomal RNA". It matches the Rfam family "Bacterial small subunit ribosomal RNA", at positions 505 to 796 of the family's 1533-position model. The record is from RNAcentral.